Molecule: long non-coding RNA, 648 nt
Filed under: Lathyrus oleraceus (garden pea)
Lineage: Eukaryota; Viridiplantae; Streptophyta; Magnoliopsida; Fabales; Fabaceae
Description: Pisum sativum (pea) long non-coding RNA (PSAT_LNC004131)
Source: RNAcentral
UUCAAAAAUAAAAAAUAGAUAUCUUGAAUAAAAUAAAUUUAUUUAAGUUUGACACAAUGUCAAUAUUUAUAAAUACAUUUCAUUGAAUAACAUUUCCCAUAUUAUUUAUUAUUUAUUGCAACUCUCCACAUUUGAAGAAUUGUUUGUAAGCAUCACAAGUACGACAAGCAUGCACCAUCCUUAAGCACGAACACCUACAAUGUAAAAACAAUUUUAGACAUCUUUAUACAUAUUCUGUUUGGUUUAAAAAAACUUAAUAAGAGAUAAAGAGAAAGUACAAAAAUUUAAUACCAUUGCUUAUGCGAAGAAUCAUAGCAGUGUUGUUCUUAGCAAUUUACAAGACAACUAUUCAUGCAGUUUUGGUACUCCUGGCCUAAUAAUUUCCCACAGACAUAAAAGAAACACCUUAUUUUACAAAAAAAGCCUAGGGGUUUGUCUGACUUAGAGUCUUGAGAUUGAGUGAUGCACUGAACUUGUAUUGUAAACAACAUCAUCAUCAUCAAAAUCAUCACAAUACAUUUUUGAAUUUGACUCAUCAUCACUAUUUUUAAAAAUGUAAUCUUUUUUCUUAAACUAAAAUAAAAUUCUAACCUUUAUGAUAUUUCAGGACUUGCGCAACACUCACUAAAUAAAACAUUUGUGUUAGGC